This 310-nucleotide ribosomal RNA is filed under the name uncultured bacterium. RNAcentral describes it as "bacterial SSU rRNA". It matches the Rfam family "Bacterial small subunit ribosomal RNA", at positions 29 to 322 of the family's 1533-position model. The record is from RNAcentral.
AACGAACGCUGGCGGCGUGGAUAAGACAUGCAAGUCGAACGGGAUUAUUUUUGUAGCAAUACAGAAAUAAUUCAGUGGCGAACGGGUGCGUAACACGUGGGCAAUCUGCCGAAAGUGGGGGAUAGCUCGCCGAAAGGCGAAUUAAUACCGCAUGUGGUGAGGGACGACAUCUCCCUGAAAUCCAAAGGCCGGGGCAACCUGGCGCUUUUUGAGGAGCCCGCCGGCCUAUCAGCUAGUUGGCGAGGUAACGGCUCACCAAGGCUAAGACGGGUAGCUGAUCUGAGAGGAUGAUCAGCCACACUGGAACUGA